UACGGGGGGGGUAAGCGUUGUUCGGAAUUACUGGGCGUUAAAGGGCUCGUAGGCGGCCAACUAAGUCAUACGUGAAAUCCCUCAGCUUAACUGGGGAACUGCGUGUGAUACUGGAUGGCUUGGAUUUGGGAGAGGGAUGCGGAAUUCCAGGUGUAGCGGUGAAAUGCGUAGAGAUCAGGAGGAACACCCGUGGCGAAGGCGGCCCUCUGGCUCGACCCUGACGCUGAGGCGCGAAAGCGUGGGGAGCGAACGGG
RNAcentral lists this ribosomal RNA (254 nucleotides) under uncultured bacterium. Its description in RNAcentral is "partial 16S ribosomal RNA". It matches the Rfam family "Bacterial small subunit ribosomal RNA", at positions 524 to 776 of the family's 1533-position model. The record is from RNAcentral.